Perca fluviatilis (European perch) is the source of this 433-nucleotide long non-coding RNA. RefSeq lists it as uncharacterized. The transcript is spliced from 3 exons. The record is from RefSeq and is a predicted model, not a curated record. Lineage: Eukaryota; Metazoa; Chordata; Actinopteri; Perciformes; Percidae.
UCAGUUUCACUUCAGCCAUUCCUAGCUGGACGUCGGGGGCUGUCCCGGGGUGAAAACUAAACAGAAAAAGGCGGGGAUAGUUUCUUUGUGUAGGCAGCAACGUGAAGAAAACAAACGUACCCGGGAACACGGUGCAGGGCGAGGAGACGGAACGAGGUCGGCACAUGAAGUUAGCAGACAGUUAGCAUGGACUCUACAGGACAAUAUUCCUAACCUGGAGGAAUUCUUUCCAUCUGUGGACACUUCCGGACUACAGGAAUAUUAAUAAGACAGGAAAGGACGGGGACUGGAGGUUUAGGACAGACUCCAGCUCCUCUGUGGGACGAGACCCUUCUGACUUCAGGACGUCCGUCUGAAUUAGUUCCCCCUGAAGAACAAGAAUGAGUUCUCCACAAAAGAAACAGAGAGGAGGAGAGGUACCCAAACGUCACCA